RNAcentral lists this non-coding RNA (209 nucleotides) under Latilactobacillus graminis. RNAcentral's name for it is "Lactobacillus graminis T-box sequence". It matches the Rfam family "T-box leader". From Rfam's summary of the family: Uncharged tRNA acts as the effector for transcription antitermination of genes in the T-box leader family. T-boxes are found upstream of many aminoacyl-tRNA synthetase genes and some amino acid biosynthetic genes usually in Gram-positive bacteria. The record is from RNAcentral. Lineage: Bacteria; Bacillati; Bacillota; Bacilli; Lactobacillales; Lactobacillaceae.
UAUUUAACGUUGAGAAGGAUUAGUAGUUAUCGUUAAGCGUUUAGAGAGCGUGUGGUUAGUGCGAACACGUCGUUUAACAUAAUGAACUCACCUUUGAGUUUUCUAUUGAACUAAUCGUAGAUAGAAACGUCUGCCGCGUUAAGGCCAGAGAGUUGUCCAAUAUAGAUUGGACAGAACUUAGGUGGCAUCGCGGUCAAUUCGUCCUAUAG